This 253-nucleotide ribosomal RNA is filed under the name uncultured prokaryote. RNAcentral describes it as "partial 16S ribosomal RNA". It matches the Rfam family "Bacterial small subunit ribosomal RNA", at positions 524 to 776 of the family's 1533-position model. The record is from RNAcentral.
UACGAAGGGUGCUAGCGUUGUUCGGAAUCACUGGGCGUAAAGCGCGCGUAGGCGGCGUUACAAGUCAGGGGUGAAAUCCUUGGGCUCAACCCAAGAAUUGCCUUUGAAACUGUGACGCUGGAGUACUGGAGGGGAUGGCGGAAUUCCUAAUGUAGAGGUGAAAUUCGUAGAUAUUAGGAGGAACACCGGUGGCGAAGGCGGCCAUCUGGCCAGUUACUGACGCUGAGGCGCGGAAGCACGGGGAUCAAACAGG